AUUUUGGACAAUGGGCGAAAGCCUGAUCCAGCAAUGCCGCGUGAGUGAAUAAGGCCUUCGGGUUGUAAAGCUCUUUUGUCAGGGUAGAAACGGUGAGGGCUAUUAUCCCAUGCUAAUGACGGUACCUGAAGAAUAAGCACCGGCUAACUACGUGCCAGCAGCCGCGGUAAUACGUAGGGUGCAAGCGUGAAUCGGAAUUACUGGGUGUAAAGCGUGCGCAGGCGGUUUUGUAAGUCUGAUGUGAAAUCCCCGGGCUCAACCUGGGAAUUGCAUUGGAGACUGCAAGGCUAGAAUCUGGCAGAGGGGGGUAGAAUUCCACGUGUAGCAGUGAAAUGCGUAGAUAUGUGGAGGAACACCGAUGGCGAAGGCAGCCCCCUGGGUCAAGAUUGACGCUCAUGCACGAAAGCGUGGGGAGCAAACA
RNAcentral lists this ribosomal RNA (421 nucleotides) under uncultured bacterium. RNAcentral describes it as "bacterial SSU rRNA". It matches the Rfam family "Bacterial small subunit ribosomal RNA", at positions 361 to 774 of the family's 1533-position model. The record is from RNAcentral.